This 73-nucleotide transfer RNA is filed under the name Candidatus Micrarchaeota archaeon CG1_02_60_51. Its description in RNAcentral is "tRNA-Gly". It matches the Rfam family "tRNA". From Rfam's summary of the family: Transfer RNA (tRNA) molecules are approximately 80 nucleotides in length. The record is from RNAcentral. Lineage: Archaea; Nanobdellati; Microcaldota. RNAcentral also lists the same sequence under 4 other names.
GCGGCCGUAGUCUAGUCUGGUAGGACAUGACGUUGCCAACGUCAAAACUCGGGUUCAAAUCCCGACGGCCGCA